UAUCCGGUGGAGAGCGGCUAAUGAGGCCCUCUUCACCGGAAAACGAAAUGCAGCCAUCAAAGGCUUUGAAGCUUUUGUGAUGGAGCAGGGCCUGCAAGACAGGGUGACGGCGGCCUUUGUA
Molecule: long non-coding RNA, 121 nt
Organism: Sinocyclocheilus grahami
Lineage: Eukaryota; Metazoa; Chordata; Actinopteri; Cypriniformes; Cyprinidae
Exons: 2
Source: RefSeq, a predicted model, not a curated record